UCCCAGACUCCUACGGGAGGCAGCAGUGGGGAAUAUUGCGCAAUGGGGGGAACCCUGAUGCAGCGACGCCGCGUGGGUGAAGGAGCACCUCGGUGCGUAAAGCCCUAUCGGCAGGGAAGAAACAGACGGUACCUGACUAAGAAGCCCCGGCUAACUACGUGCCAGCAGCCGCGGUAAUACGUAGGGGGCGAGCGUUAUCCGGAUUCACUGGGUGUAAAGGGAGCGUAGACGGCCAUGCAAGCCAGGGGUGAAAGCCCGGGGCCCAACCCCGGGACUGCCCUUGGAACUGCAUGGCUGGAGUGCGGGAGGGGCAGGCGGAAUUCCUGGUGUAGCGGUGAAAUGCGUAGAUAUCAGGAGGAACACCGGCGGCGAAGGCGGCCUGCUGGACCGCGACUGACGUUGAGGCUCGAAAGCGUGGGGAGCAAACAGGAUUAGAUACCCUCGUAUA
Molecule: ribosomal RNA, 448 nt
Filed under: uncultured bacterium
Lineage: Bacteria
Description: bacterial SSU rRNA
Rfam family: Bacterial small subunit ribosomal RNA
Source: RNAcentral